UACGUAGGGGGCUAGCGUUGUCCGGAAUCAUUGGGCGUAAAGCGCGUGUAGGCGGUUCGGUAAGUCCGCUGUGAAAGUCGGGGGCUCAACCCUCGGAAGCCGGUGGAUACUGUCGAGCUAGAGUACGGAAGAGGCGAGUGGAAUUCCUGGUGUAGCGGUGAAAUGCGCAGAUAUCAGGAGGAACACCGAUGGCGAAGGCAGCUCGCUGGGACGGUACUGACGCUGAGACGCGAAAGCGUGGGGAGCAAACAGG
RNAcentral lists this ribosomal RNA (253 nucleotides) under uncultured bacterium. RNAcentral's name for it is "partial 16S ribosomal RNA". It matches the Rfam family "Bacterial small subunit ribosomal RNA", at positions 524 to 776 of the family's 1533-position model. The record is from RNAcentral.